This 447-nucleotide ribosomal RNA is filed under the name uncultured bacterium. RNAcentral's name for it is "bacterial SSU rRNA". It matches the Rfam family "Bacterial small subunit ribosomal RNA", at positions 331 to 795 of the family's 1533-position model. The record is from RNAcentral.
CCAGACUCCUACGGGAGGCAGCAGUGGGGGAUAUUGCACAAUGGGGGAAACCCUGAUGCAGCGACGCCGCGUGGGUGAAGAAGCGCCUCGGCGCGUAAAGCCCUGUCAGCAGGGAAGAAAAUGACGGUACCUGAAGAAGAAGCCCCGGCUAACUACGUGCCAGCAGCCGCGGUAAUACGUAGGGGGCAAGCGUUAUCCGGAUUUACUGGGUGUAAAGGGAGCGUAGACGGCAGUGCAAGUCCGGAGUGAAAGCCCGGGGCUCAACCCUGGGACUGCUCUGGAAACUGUAAAGCUGGAGUGCGGGAGGGGCAGGCGGAAUUCCUGGUGUAGCGGUGAAAUGCGUAGAUAUCAGGAGGAACACCGGCGGCGAAGGCGGCCUGCUGGACCGUAACUGACGCUGAGGCUCGAAAGCGUGGGGAGCGAACAGGAUUAGAUACCCCGGUAAUC